CACUUAGAAAAUCUGUCAAGUCCAUGUGUUAUAAAAUGCAUGGAGCAAUGGGACUCUUUAUAUGCAACUGGUUUGUGUGUACAUUUUUACAAUCAUUUUGAAUACUCUGGUAUUAUCUGCUGAAAUUGAAAGUAUCCAUACCCGAUAAACAAACAAUUCCAGCCUUGAGUGAAUUGCCCAUAGGAGCAUAUCAGGACCCAUGCAUAGAGAUGCUUGUAGCAGGAUUAUUAAUAAUUGUCCCAAAUUAAAAAUAACAAUAUUUAUUUACAAUAGGAUGGAUACACUUCUAUAUAUUUAUAAAAUGGAAGGCUUUACAGUGAAGAAGUUAAUCAAACCAAAGCUAAAUUCAACACCAUGGAUUCAUUUUUUAAAAAAAUAUUGAGCCAAAGAAGCACACUAAAAAAAUGUAUUUAGUAUGAUGUUUUUUGAUUAAAAAUACAUAAAGAGGAAAAACUCUGCUCUAUUAUGAUGCACAUAUGGGAGGUAAAACUAUAAAGGAAAUUACAAAAGUGAAUACAAUAAGAGUCAAGACAAUGUUAACCUCAAGGGGUUAGGAAGGAAAUGUGAUUAUGAAGGGAUAUAGGGUUGAUGGGAAUGUUUUCUAACUUAACCUGGAUGUUGGUUGCAUAAAUGGUCAAUGCAUGAUUUUCCAUUUUAAUGUACAUUUAUGUAAUGUUGACAUCUCUGACAUAUUUCAUAAUAAAUAUUUUUAAAGGUACCAGCAACUCAUAUACCUGAUAAACUGAAUGCAAAUACUAUGAAUGAGCAUUAGCAUUGCUUAGCUAAUAAACAAAAGUUCAAGGAGCAAAAAAGCUCAAUUUUGUGCCAUUGUAACAACUGCAAAUAAGGAGUAUGUAAUGAAUCAGAUUUUAUUGUUAAACCAGAAACAUUCUUAUGCUAAAAUCAGCUUAACAUAAACAAAAGUUGAUUCAGUUUGUUCAAGACUUCAGAGGGAAAGCAUAAAGUGACAAAAUUGUUUUCACUAUAAAUAGGUUAAGUAAAGAUUGUGGGGUUUUGUUGUUGCUGUUGUUUUUGUUGUUGUUUUGAGAUGGAGUUUCGCUCUUGUUGCCCAGGAUGGAGUGAUGGAGUGCAGGGGCGUGACCUCAGCUCACUGCAACCUUCACCUCCCAGGUUCAAGUGAUUCUCCUGCCUCUGCCUCCCGAAUAGCUGGGAUUACAGGUAUGCACUACUACACUGGGCUAAGUUUUGUAUUUUCAGUAGAGAUGGGGUUUCACCACUUGGCCAGGCUGGUCUCGAACUUCUGACCUCAAGCAAUCCUCCCGCCUUAGGCUCCCAAAGUGGUGGGAUUACAGGCCUGAACCACAGGGCCCAGCCUUGGCUUGUGGUUCUUUUACUAAAUAUGGAAUAGCGAUAAAGCUUAUGUAUCAUAUUUGUAAAAGAAAGCUAGGCACAUGAAGCAGAAUUAAUUCAUGAGGGAAAAUAUUUAUUUUACUCUCAAGUCUCCCGAAAGUUAUUGUAUUCAUUUAAACUCAAUUUCUAAUUUUUUUAGUUACCCAAAUACUAUUGCAUUAAAUGCAUUAAAGAGAGCAUUGUACCUAGCAGAUAUGUGAGAAACAGUUUGACUUUUUAACCACUAAAAAAUGUCCAAAUAUCAGAAUUUAUUUUAUUUUAAAUUUCAAAAAAAUCCUUAUUUUAUAUGAUAAAAAUCAAGUUGAUUUGUAAGUCAUAUAUAUCAGCUUAUUAUCAAGAACUAUUGCUAUGUAAAAGAACUUAGGACUGUGUAAUUAGAACUAUGUAAUAGAAAUAUUUACAGAAGACUAUAUCUGCCAACAUGAGAUACUCUACCACCAUAACUUAUAUCAAUGACUCUUGUUCUAUCAUCGUGUGCAUUAUAAAUAGUGCAAAAUUUCAAGAAAUUUCCAUUUUGAGAUAUAAGAAAUCAAUAUGCUGGGAAAACUAAUAUCAAACUCUGAAGUAGAUAUAUUUCAUUUUAUAUAUAUUUUAAAUGACCUUUAACUAAAGGUUAAAUUGGAUUGACACACUGAAGAUAAAUUUUUUUAUUAUUAUCAUCAUUAAAUUAUUAUUUUGUGACUAUUACUAUUCAACUAACACUACAUCUGAUAAUAUAAUGAUAAACACAUUCCUUUUUUAUAUUAACUAGCAUUUUUUUCGAGUUUCUUAAAGCUUUGUUUGCAACUCUGGAUGAUUUAUGUGGGACAUGAUAAAACCAAUCUCCACACAGGCUAAUUUGAGACCUGGCAUCAUUGUCUCUCUCUGAACAAUCUGGAAGCUUUUUUAUGGUAGUGAAUUGCUCAUUUGGGGUGCGAGGAUUGAAGCAGGCAAGUGUCUGGGUCAUUAUGUGCUCAGCCAUGUCUUACAUAGGUGUUUGGAUUUGUAUAGCACUGGUUAAUCUGUAAUGUGUUUUAAUUUAGAGACAUAAAUUCUGGCCAGAAUUCUAUGCUUUAAUUAAAUAGUGUCAAGGGAUUGAUCGCAGCAUAUUGAUCCAUAACUGAACAUUUUAUCCAUGAAGUCACAGGUCCAGUGAGUCAUCAUUGCCUAGAAUACCCUACUUCAAACAAUGAAACUCACUUUCAAUCUAUCAUCAUCUUUCACUCUUCAGUGAAACCCCAUGUAGCUUCCAGAUGUGGUUUCAGGAUUUCUCUAUAUUGUUGGAGAGCAUUUAGGGCUCAAGAGAAAUCAUUGCUGCUUUAGCGCCUGGAGAAGAGCUACAGCUCAGGUGUUCAAUAGAAGAGAUGCACACAGGCAUCUAUGUUGUCAGCAAGCUAGCACUAUCAAAGCAUCUGGAGACAACAAUAGGAGUCAAGGAUACCAUCUCUAGCACAGAUCCCCGAACAAGAACCUGAGACCUGCCGAACAGCAGGUGCCAAAGAUGCUGCUGUAACACCACAGCCCUCCCAUCUUCCAUCCUCCACUGGCGCUGAGUGGCAGUCCCAUGUGACAGGAAGUGGAGGCAGAGCUGGGCCAGCCCAGGAGCCACGUGCUGGAGCCAGAUACUCUGUUUUUCUACAAAUGGAAAGUUUGUGGCAUCCUUGACUCAAGCAAAUUUUUCAGCACCAUUUUUCAAGAGCGUGUGCUCACUUCACCUCUCUGUAUCGUGUUUUGAUGCUUGUCCUGGAAACCAACCAUGAGCUGUGAUGAAAUCCAGGCAACUGAGUUGUGUUUCAGCCCAAAGCAGCAAAUGGAAUCCAGCUUCAGGACCAUCAUCUGACAUAGGGGAAGAAGACUUACAUAGAAGGCCUAACCAGCACCCAAGAUCAUGCUCAUAGGUGGAGGAGACUUGCUUUGUCUCAGAUGAGACUUUGGACUGUGGACUUUUGAGUUAAUGCUGAAAUGAGUUGAGACUUUGGGGAACUGUUGGGAAGGCAUGAUUGGUUUUAAAUAUGAAUAUAUGAGAUUUGGGAGGGGGUCAGGGGUGGAAUGAUAUGGUUUGGCUCUGUGUCCCCACCCAAAUCUCAUCUUGUAGCUCCCAUAAUCCUCCCAUGUUGUGGGAGGGACCCAGUGGGAGAUGAUUGAAUCAUGAGGGCGGGUCUUUCUCAUGCUGUUCAUGAUCCCAUUCAUGUGAGAAAGACCCAUGUGAUCAUGAAUGGGUCUCACAAGAUCUGAUGGUGUUAAAAAUGGGAGUUUCUCUGCACAAGCUCUCUGCCUGCUGCCAUUCACAAAGGAUGUGACUUGCUUCUCCUUGCCUUCUGCUAUGAUUGUGAGGCCUCCCUAGCCAUGUGGAACUGUGAGUCCAAUUAA
This is a long non-coding RNA of Homo sapiens (human), 3720 nucleotides long. Ensembl annotates it as long intergenic non-protein coding RNA 2882. NCBI's taxonomy places the organism in Eukaryota, Metazoa, Chordata, Mammalia, Primates, Hominidae. The record is from Ensembl.